Vicia faba (fava bean) is the source of this 384-nucleotide non-coding RNA. The record is from the annotation of a GenBank genome assembly. Lineage: Eukaryota; Viridiplantae; Streptophyta; Magnoliopsida; Fabales; Fabaceae.
AAAAAAACAAUACACUCCAAACAAAAACCUAAAACCUCACCUUCCCCAAUCUCCACUAACAUUUCACCAAGCAACAAACACCUUUCUUCUCUUCUCUCUCUCAUAUUCACCCAUCCACUUUCUCAACUCCUUCUCCAACAACAACCUUACCUCAUCACAUCAUCAUUCUCUAAACUCUAUUGUUUGUUGUGUUUCUUGUUUCUUCUUCUUUUGUCUACAUUUGUCACUCUUUUGUUCAGCCACUUUUCCCCUAAUACAAACUUUAUUUUGAUUAAAAUUUUUUUUUAUUUUUAUUUUAUAAAAAGUACUACUAGUAGCAGAGAAAAAGUUAGUAGUUACGUAUACAUACAUAUAUAUACAUACACUGGACCAUUAAGUCAUUAA